GACGAACGCUGGCGGCGUGCUUAACACAUGCAAGUCGAACGGAAAGGCCUGCUUUCCCUUGUGGAUUGCGGGUACUCGAGUGGCGAACGGGUGAGUAACACGUGAGUGAUCUGCCCCCAACUUGGGUAUAAGCCUGGGAAACUGGGUCUAAUUCCCGAUAGGACUGCAGGGUGGUGCCUGUUGUGGAAAUCGAUUUUCUAGUGGUUGGGGAUGAGCUCGCGGCCUAUCAGCUUGUUGGUGGGGUAAUGGCCUACCAAGGCGGCGACGGGUAGCCGGCCUGGGAGGGUGGACGGCCACAUUGGGACUGAGAUACGGGCCAGACUCCUACGGGAGGCAGCAGUGGGGAAUAUUGAACAAUGGGCGGAAGCCUGAGGCAGCGACGCCGCGUGGGGGAUGACGGGCUUCGGGUUGUAAACUCCUUUCGACCGAGAGGAAGCCACCUGGUUGGAAGGGUGGUGACGGUAGUGGUAGAAGAAGCACCGGCUAACUACGUG
This 494-nucleotide ribosomal RNA is filed under the name uncultured bacterium. RNAcentral describes it as "partial 16S ribosomal RNA". It matches the Rfam family "Bacterial small subunit ribosomal RNA", at positions 28 to 507 of the family's 1533-position model. The record is from RNAcentral.